RNAcentral lists this transfer RNA (85 nucleotides) under Spirochaetales bacterium. RNAcentral describes it as "tRNA-Leu". It matches the Rfam family "tRNA". From Rfam's summary of the family: Transfer RNA (tRNA) molecules are approximately 80 nucleotides in length. Their secondary structure includes four short double-helical elements and three loops (D, anti-codon, and T loops). The record is from RNAcentral. Lineage: Bacteria; Pseudomonadati; Spirochaetota; Spirochaetia; Spirochaetales.
GCCGGAGUGGCGGAAUUGGUAGACGCAGUGGACUUAAAAUCCACCGGUAUCUGAUACUGUAUCGGUUCAAGUCCGAUCUCCGGUA